Non-coding RNA from Leptonychotes weddellii (Weddell seal), 133 nucleotides. Lineage: Eukaryota; Metazoa; Chordata; Mammalia; Carnivora; Phocidae. The record is from RefSeq and is a predicted model, not a curated record.
CCUCCUUCUCUCUGCAACAAGAAAAAAAAAAGCCAUUUACAGGGGGUGAUGUGCAACUAAUUAAAGGCAGACUAGCAGCGUCUGCAAAUUCUAAGGCUCCCCAAAUAAAAAGAGACUGUUGUAACAGUUGGAG